Small nucleolar RNA from Mesocricetus auratus (golden hamster), 59 nucleotides. Ensembl annotates it as predicted gene, 22871. Lineage: Eukaryota; Metazoa; Chordata; Mammalia; Rodentia; Cricetidae. The record is from Ensembl.
UGCUGGUGAUGAAGUUGCCUCACUCUGAGUACUGGGCCUUGCCAGGGGUAAGCCAGGCA